UACUGGGAAGGAUUGAUUAGAUUAUUUUUUUUUUUUUCAAGUGUAUUGACGCCUUGACACAGGCAAAGCAAAACAAAAAUAAAACGUGAUCCACAGCUUAUCGUUUUUGAAUUUGGUAAACAUGGCUUACGUUGGCUUCUGUUUUUUUUUAGGCUUAUCCACUGUGCUCUUUUUUUUCUUGGGGGAUUCCGCUGAAACGGGAAAACACCAGUGUGAGUUUUGGACACAGCGCUCGCAAACCUAAAGGAGACGGACACUCGUGUCCAGGGCUGCUCAUGCACAAAGUUUGACGAGGUGACUUACGAUGGGUUGAGCACGCCGCAGCGCAAGGCCCACUUGAAGGUGUCGUGCAUCGGAUCCACGUCCAACAGGAGGGGCAUCCAAUAGGUGUGAAGUCUCAUCAAAUGUGCUGACAUAUGUUUUUCAUGGAACGGCAUUUUGCUCCAGUACUCAGCUAUGAUGCCUAAGCACAUGCACACAAAAAUGCAGUCAGCCAGAGAACACCACAGCAUGUGCCAAUAAACAUAGACAAUCAA
Molecule: long non-coding RNA, 536 nt
Organism: Syngnathus typhle (broad-nosed pipefish)
Lineage: Eukaryota; Metazoa; Chordata; Actinopteri; Syngnathiformes; Syngnathidae
Exons: 2
Source: RefSeq, a predicted model, not a curated record